GAUGAACGCUGGCGGCGUGCUUAACACAUGCAAGUCGAACGAUGAAGCCCAGCUUGCUGGGUGGAUUAGUGGCGAACGGGUGAGUAACACGUGAGUAACCUGCCCUUAACUCUGGGAUAAGCCUGGGAAACUGGGUCUAAUACCGGAUAGGAGCGUCCACCGCAUGGUGGGUGUUGGAAAGAUUUAUCGGUUUUGGAUGGACUCGCGGCCUAUCAGCUUGUUGGUGAGGUAAUGGCUCACCAAGGCGACGACGGGUAGCCGGCCUGAGAGGGUGACCGGCCACACUGGGACUGAGACACGGCCCAGACUCCUACGGGAGGCAGCAGUGGGGAAUAUUGCACAAUGGGCGAAAGCCUGAUGCAGCGACGCCGCGUGAGGGAUGACGGCCUUCGGGUUGUAAACCUCUUUCAGUAGGGAAGAAGCGAAAGUGACGGUACCUGCAGAAGAAGCACCGGCUAACUACGUGCCAGCAGCCGCGGUAAU
Molecule: ribosomal RNA, 483 nt
Filed under: uncultured bacterium
Lineage: Bacteria
Description: bacterial SSU rRNA
Rfam family: Bacterial small subunit ribosomal RNA
Source: RNAcentral